AAAGCCUGAUCCAGCCAUGCCGCGUGUGUGAAGAAGGUCUUCGGAUUGUAAAGCACUUUAAGUUGGGAGGAAGGGUUUCUGGCUAAUAUCCAGGAAUUUUGACGUUACUCGCAGAAUAAGCACCGGCUAACUCUGUGCCAGCAGCCGCGGUAAUACAGAGGGUGCGAGCGUUAAUCGGAUUUACUGGGCGUAAAGCGUGCGUAGGCGGCUUUUUAAGUCAGGUGUGAAAUCCCGGGGCUCAACCUCGGAACUGCAUUUGAAACUGGAAGUCUUGAGAUCAGGAGAGGUUAGCGGAAUACCGAGUGUAGAGGUGAAAUUCGUAGAUAUUCGGUGGAACACCAGUGGCGAAGGCGGCUAACUGGACUGAUACUGACGCUGAGGUGCGAAAGUGUGGGGAGCAAACA
This 404-nucleotide ribosomal RNA is filed under the name uncultured Pseudomonadota bacterium. RNAcentral's name for it is "bacterial SSU rRNA". It matches the Rfam family "Bacterial small subunit ribosomal RNA", at positions 378 to 774 of the family's 1533-position model. The record is from RNAcentral. Lineage: Bacteria; Pseudomonadati; Pseudomonadota.